CCUACGGGCGGCAGCAGUGGGGAAUAUUGGACAAUGGGCGAAAGCCUGAUCCAGCCAUGCCGCGUGUGUGAAGAAGGCCUUCGGGUUGUAAAGCACUUUCAGUGGGGAAGAAAGCCUUGGGGCUAAUACCCUCGAGGAAGGACAUCACCCACAGAAGAAGCCCCGGCUAACUCCGUGCCAGCAGCCGCGGUAAUACGGAGGGUGCGAGCGUUAAUCGGAAUUACUGGGCGUAAAGCGCGCGUAGGCGGUCUGAUAAGCCGGUUGUGAAAGCCCCGGGCUCAACCUGGGAACGGCAUCCGGAACUGUCAGGCUAGAGUGCAGGAGAGGAAGGUAGAAUUCCCGGUGUAGCGGUGAAAUGCGUAGAGAUCGGGAGGAAUACCAGUGGCGAAGGCGGCCUUCUGGACUGACACUGACGCUGAGGUGCGAAAGCGUGGGUAGCAAACAGGAUUAGAUACCCUAGUAGUC
Molecule: ribosomal RNA, 465 nt
Filed under: Vreelandella stevensii
Lineage: Bacteria; Pseudomonadati; Pseudomonadota; Gammaproteobacteria; Oceanospirillales; Halomonadaceae
Description: partial 16S ribosomal RNA
Rfam family: Bacterial small subunit ribosomal RNA
Source: RNAcentral